CUUUUACUCCCUCCAUUCUGAAUUACUUGUCUUAGAUUUGUCUAGAUACGGAUGUAUCUAGCACUAAAAUGAAUCUAGAUACGGAUGUAUCUAGACAAAUUUAAGACAAGUAAUUCGGAACGGAGGGAGUACAUG
Non-coding RNA from Triticum aestivum (bread wheat), 135 nucleotides. The record is from Rfam. Lineage: Eukaryota; Viridiplantae; Streptophyta; Magnoliopsida; Poales; Poaceae.